RNAcentral lists this ribosomal RNA (449 nucleotides) under uncultured bacterium. RNAcentral's name for it is "partial 16S ribosomal RNA". It matches the Rfam family "Bacterial small subunit ribosomal RNA", at positions 29 to 523 of the family's 1533-position model. The record is from RNAcentral.
AGCGAACGCUGGCGGCAGGCCUAACACAUGCAAGUCGAACGAAGUCUUCGGACUUAGCGGCGGACGGGUGAGUAACACGUGGGAACGUGCCUCUAGGUUCGGAAUAACUCAGGGAAACUUGUGCUAAUACCGAAUGUGCCCUUCGGGGGAAAGAUUUAUCGCCUUUAGAGCGGCCCGCGUCUGAUUAGCUAGUUGGUAAGGUAAAGGCUAACCAAGGCGCCGAUCAGUAGCUGGUCUGAGAGGAUGAUGAGCCACAUUGGGACUGAGACCGGGCCCAAACGCCUACGGGAUGCAGCAGUGGGGAAUCUUGCGCAAUGGGCGAAAGCCCGACGCAGCCAUGCCGCGUGAAUGAUGAAGGUCUUAGGAUUGUAAAAUUCUUUCACCGGGGACGAUAAUGACGGUACCCGGAGAAGAAGCCCCGGCUAACUUCGUGCCAGCCGCCGCAGUAA